RNAcentral lists this ribosomal RNA (622 nucleotides) under Fusarium sp. BAB-4360. Its description in RNAcentral is "eukaryotic LSU rRNA". The stretch from base 193 to 346 matches the Rfam family "5.8S ribosomal RNA". Lineage: Eukaryota; Fungi; Ascomycota; Sordariomycetes; Hypocreales; Nectriaceae. The record is from RNAcentral.
GUCGUAACAAGGUUUCCGUAGGUGAACCAGCGGAGGGAUCAUUACCGAGUUUACAACUCCCAAACCCCUGUGAACAUACCACUUGUUGCCUCGGCGGAUCAGCCCGCUCCCGGUAAAACGGGACGGCCCGCCAGAGGACCCCUAAACUCUGUUUCUAUAUGUAACUUCUGAGUAAAACCAUAAAUAAAUCAAAACUUUCAACAACGGAUCUCUUGGUUCUGGCAUCGAUGAAGAACGCAGCAAAAUGCGAUAAGUAAUGUGAAUUGCAGAAUUCAGUGAAUCAUCGAAUCUUUGAACGCACAUUGCGCCCGCCAGUAUUCUGGCGGGCAUGCCUGUUCGAGCGUCUUUUCAACCCUCAAGCCCUCGGGUUUGGUGUUGGGGAUCGGCGAGCCCUUUGCGGCAAGCCGGCCCCGAAAUCUAGUGGCGGUCUCGCUGCAGCUUCCAUUGCGUAGUAGUAAAACCCUCGCAACUGGUACGCGGCGCGGCCAAGCCGUUAAACCCCCAACUUCUGAAUGUUGACCUCGGAUCAGGUAGGAAUACCCGCUGAACUUAAGCAUAUCAAUAAGCGGAGGAAAAGAAACCAACAGGGAUUGCCCUAGUAACUGCGAGUGAAAGCGGGAAA